This is a non-coding RNA of Acanthosepion pharaonis, 92 nucleotides long. The record is from the annotation of a GenBank genome assembly. NCBI's taxonomy places the organism in Eukaryota, Metazoa, Mollusca, Cephalopoda, Sepiida, Sepiidae.
CAUUGAAACACCGGUUCUCAUAUGACCUCCAAAGUUAAGCAACGUCGAGCUUGGUCAGUACAUAGAUGGGUGAUCACUUGAGAAUAUUAGGU